Molecule: ribosomal RNA, 253 nt
Filed under: uncultured bacterium
Lineage: Bacteria
Description: partial 16S ribosomal RNA
Rfam family: Bacterial small subunit ribosomal RNA
Source: RNAcentral
UACGUAGGGUGCAGGCGUUAAUCGGAAUUACUGGGCGUAAAGCGUGCGCAGGCGGCUCCUUAAGUCAGAUGUGAAAUCCCCGGGCUUAACCUGGGAACUGCGUUUGAAACUGAGGGGCUAGAGUGUGGAAGAGGGGGGUGGAAUUCCAGGUGUAGCAGUGAAAUGCGUAGAGAUCUGGAGGAACACCGAUGGCGAAGGCAGCCCCCUGGGCCAACACUGACGCUCAUGCACGAAAGCGUGGGGAGCAAACAGG